GCUUUGAAUCAAUGUUCUGUGGGUCAUAAGUAGCUAUUGCUAAAAUAAGCAGCAAAAUUACCCAAUAAACAGCCUGACCUGCAGCUCAGCUCUUUAAUGCAGCAGAUGGAAGUCAUUCAGAGUGUCAGCCCUUUGAAAUUUGUGACUGUGAGAGUGAGAGGAGUGGGUCCCUCUUACUGAAUUUCUUGCUUUGGGAGAGAAAGGAGGAGAUGUCUCUGAGGAUGUGGAAGAGGAAUCCAAGUCCCAUGAAGAGGAGGUUCUGUCUGCAACAACAAAUGGCAGAAGGAAAGAAAAAGCAUCUAGAAUCAAGAUUCUACAAGCAGUCAACACAUCCCACAACAAUGCCUGUGUUAUACUUAAUGUUAUGCAGUGCUUUCCUUCAUUUCCCUGUCCUAACAAACUGUGCUGCUAGGGUGCUUUUCAACAGAUGCUGGGUUUCACUCUUGGUGUGUGUCUGCUGUUCAGUAGAGAGUAUGAAUUCCAUAUUCAUCAUUUCUACUUGGAGCCUGCUGCAAAG
Molecule: long non-coding RNA, 517 nt
Organism: Hemicordylus capensis (graceful crag lizard)
Lineage: Eukaryota; Metazoa; Chordata; Lepidosauria; Squamata; Cordylidae
Exons: 4
Source: RefSeq, a predicted model, not a curated record